GUCGAGCGAACUGAUUAGAAGCUUGCUUCUAUGACGUUAGCGGCGGACGGGUGAGUAACACGUGGGCAACCUGCCUGUAAGACUGGGAUAACUUCGGGAAACCGAAGCUAAUACCGGAUAACAUCAUUCCUUGCAUAAGGAAUGAUUGAAAGAUGGUUUCGGCUAUCACUUACAGAUGGGCCCGCGGUGCAUUAGCUAGUUGGUGAGGUAACGGCUCACCAAGGCAACGAUGCAUAGCCGACCUGAGAGGGUGAUCGGCCACACUGGGACUGAGACACGGCCCAGACUCCUACGGGAGGCAGCAGUAGGGAAUCUUCCGCAAUGGACGAAAGUCUGACGGAGCAACGCCGCGUGAGUGAUGAAGGCUUUCGGGUCGUAAAACUCUGUUGUUAGGGAAGAACAAGUAUGAGAGUAACUGCUCGUACCUUGACGGUACCUAACCAGAAAGCCACGGCUAACUACGUGCCAGCAGCCGCGGUAAUACGUAGGUGGCAAGCGUUAUCCGGAAUUAUUGGGCGUAAAGCGCGCGCAGGCGGUUUCUUAAGUCUGAUGUGAAAGCCCACGGCUCAACCGUGGAGGGUCAUUGGAAACUGGGGAACUUGAGUGCAGAAGAGAAAAGCGGAAUUCCACGUGUAGCGGUGAAAUGCGUAGAGAUGUGGAGGAACACCAGUGGCGAAGGCGGCUUUUUGGUCUGUAACUGACGCUGAGGCGCGAAAGCGUGAGGAGCAAACAGGAUUAGAUACCCUGGUAGUCCA
Molecule: ribosomal RNA, 755 nt
Filed under: Bacillus sp. PSu2_36
Lineage: Bacteria; Bacillati; Bacillota; Bacilli; Caryophanales; Bacillaceae
Description: bacterial SSU rRNA
Rfam family: Bacterial small subunit ribosomal RNA
Source: RNAcentral